AAAACUUUCUACCUGCGCAUAACAUUGGAAUUCCGCCCUGAAAAAGAAUGCUCCUGAAGGAGGUCUUGCUCGCUAGAUCCAGUCUCCUAUGGUCUUCUUACAGAUGCUAUUUGCAUCCUCUAUGCUAAGGUUGUUAGAGAUAUUUUGUCUAGCACAGAAAGAGGUCCUUGCUCUUCUAGUCAAGACACUUUUGGAGCUGAAAAUGGUUCAGAAUGGGUUUUGCUAAACUGAAGAAGAAUAUUGUAGGCAAUGUGUUCAAUACAAAGAAAACAUAAGGCAAUUGAAGAGAACAAUAGAAAGCAAGAAUGCUAUUAUCCAACAACUUACUGAAG
This is a long non-coding RNA of Xenia sp. Carnegie-2017, 332 nucleotides long. RefSeq lists it as uncharacterized. The transcript is spliced from 4 exons. NCBI's taxonomy places the organism in Eukaryota, Metazoa, Cnidaria, Anthozoa, Malacalcyonacea, Xeniidae. The record is from RefSeq and is a predicted model, not a curated record.